GUGUCACUAAGGUAAUGGUGAAGCUGCAAUCAACACGAAGAUGAAUCGGGUGCAGUACUGCCCUCUAAUUUAGACCAUGGUGUUCUUCACCAGGAGGAUGAGCCAUCUCUCCUGUGUGAUUUGGAUCGGAUCGAUGAUUUAAAUGCGAAAUUUCAGUGCGAGCCGUUUAUUGAUCCACAGUUUGUGGCGGAUGGGAACUCCGAUCCCGAAAUUCACGCCAAAGAGCUGGCUGCUGUGACUGAGCUGUGGUCCAGGAACG
Molecule: long non-coding RNA, 259 nt
Organism: Schistocerca serialis cubense
Lineage: Eukaryota; Metazoa; Arthropoda; Insecta; Orthoptera; Acrididae
Exons: 3
Source: RefSeq, a predicted model, not a curated record